This 1858-nucleotide long non-coding RNA is filed under the name Macaca mulatta (Rhesus monkey). RNAcentral describes it as "lncRNA (ENSMMUG00000062760.1)". Lineage: Eukaryota; Metazoa; Chordata; Mammalia; Primates; Cercopithecidae. The record is from RNAcentral.
UAGAGUGGUGAGGAGGAGUUGUUUGUUUUGGUAGCACCUAUCACCGUUGAAAUUAUGUUUAUUUUUUGUGAUUUUUCUGAUUAAUUUCUGUCUUUUAGCUGGAUUGUAGGCUCCAUAAGUCAAAGAUCAUGUAUAUGUUUAAUCUUCUGCCAACCUAAAUAACAAACAGAGAGAGGCUCUCUAAAAGAAAAUGAUAUUUAUUCAUGGACAGGGCAUUCCAAUGGGACUAUGUGUGCCAUAGUCACCUAUAUGUGUAUUCAGGGAGGUAAAGGCUUUUAAGGGAAAAGUGAAGAGAAUUACAUUAAUUGUUUCUGAGAUAAUUAUCCUUGGCUUCAAGGAUCAAUAACAAAGGUGGCGCCAGUUUGAGGUUGGACAGGCAGUUGCUGGGUAGACGCCCUUGCAGAAGUAUUUUUUUGUGCAAGGUUGUGGUUUCUGCAGUCUUUGGGGAUAGUUCUGGGUAUCAAGCAUACAAGCCUGGGAACUCUCCCUUCAUGGCUUUCCCCACCUCUAUUUGUCAGAGUUUUUAACACAAAUUACUCCAUUUUGAUUCUGACAACUUUCACACUCUCAGUGCCUAUCUCAAUACCUAGCACCUAGUAAGCAUUCAAAUAUUCGUUGAAUAAACAGAAUCCCAAAGAAUAAACUUGAAUGGUGGCUGGAGCUGGGGAGAUGGGAGGGGGAUGCCCACCCCAGGCCCAGUGAGCAGAGAUGUUAUUGGAGAUAACAUGCUCGUGCUAAGGUCAUAGAGAUGAUUUUGUAGCAACUUGACAACAGAAAGAUGCUGCCUCCUUUAAAGUGGCUAUUUUGCCAAGGUCAUAAGUUAACUGAUUUUUAUUUUAUCCCUUUCCUCUUCAAUAUAUUUCCCUAUUCCUUAAAAUGUCCACAUCAACUCUGCCAAAUGUAUCAAAAGAAAUGGCAGAAGUAGGCUUAGUUUGGCUGCCUCCGUCCUGCCAUAGCCGGAUUCACAUAGACCUUUCCCAUUUACAGAAAUGAAAACUAGGAAUCCUCCAUGUCUGUGUAUAGUGUUACCUUUACUUGAAAAUUGUGUUUUCACAUUAUGUUGUGGUAUCUCAUGUGACUUAAGAUGCCUCAUAUUAUAUUUAUUAUAUAUUUAUUUGGGUGCCCAUUUUAUAUUUCUUUCUAAAUUAUAAGCUCUUUUUCUUAUUCUUCUUGGGUGUCCUCUCUUCACAUAGCACAUAAAAGACAUUCAUAUAUUGCUGGUUAAACAACACUGUGGAGAUAUGAAAAGGCUAGCACAAAGGUGAAAAACUUUUUUCAACCUGUGGUUUCAUCAAAAGAAAGUGCCCUAUUCCCUGAUGCUUAUUUCUUACACGCAAUUCCCUACUGAUCCACAGCAGUUGGAAUAUCACACUCAGAUGAAAUUAGCACUUCAGGGAGGAAACUGUGACUAUCUUGCUCUUACUCUUACAGACUGUUAAGAUAAUAAACUGAAUUCCUGGAACCAAAAAUAAACUUGUCUAUGAAGAGUAUAUGCUUAGAAUUAGACAUAUCAAUACCUAUAUAAUUCUUUUUUUUUUCCUUCCUCAAAGUGAGUGCAACUUGCUGGGACUAUGAGAUGGGGAAGAAAGUCUGAUGAUUCCAAAAGAAUGAUCUUUCAGUGUUUGCUUUACCCCAGUAUUUCUUGCAAAAGCAACUGUACAAAAUAACAUCAAAAGAAUAGCAAAAACAAAAAAUAAUAGAAGUUAGACAAGCAUGGUGGCACAUACCUGUAGUCCCAACUACUUGGGAGUCUGAGUGAGGUAGGAGGAGCACUUGAGCCUAGAAGCUCAAGGCUAUAGUGGGCUAUGAUCAUGCCUGUGAAAAGUCACUACACACAAGCCUGGGCAUUAUAAAAAGA